CACGUAGUUAGCCGGGGCUUCUUACUCAGGUACCGUCAUCUUCUUCUCUGCUGAUAGAGCUUUACAUACCGAAAUACUUCUUCACUCACGCGGCGUUGCUGCAUCAGGGUUUCCCCCAUUGUGCAAUAUUCUCCACUGCUGCCUCCCGUAGGAGUUUGGGCCGUGUCUCAGUCCCAAUGUGGCCGGUCACCCUCUCAGGUCGGCUACUGAUCGUCGCCUUGGUGGGCCGUUACCCCUCCAACUAGCUAAUCAGACGCGGGUCCAUCUCAUACCACCGGAGUUUUUCACACAAGAACAUGCAUCCUCGUGCGCUUAUGCGGUAUUAGCAGUCAUUUCUAACUGUUAUCCCCCUGUAUGAGGCAGGUUACCCACGCGUUACUCACCCGUCCGCCACUCAGUCAAUCUAGCUUCCAUCCGAAAAACUUCCGCUAAAAUCGCUUCGUUCGACUUGCAUGUGUUAAGCACGCCGCCAGCGUCAUCCUGAGCCAGGAUA
Molecule: ribosomal RNA, 493 nt
Filed under: uncultured Lachnospiraceae bacterium
Lineage: Bacteria; Bacillati; Bacillota; Clostridia; Lachnospirales; Lachnospiraceae
Description: partial 16S ribosomal RNA
Source: RNAcentral